Non-coding RNA from Larimichthys crocea (large yellow croaker), 54 nucleotides. The record is from Rfam. NCBI's taxonomy places the organism in Eukaryota, Metazoa, Chordata, Actinopteri, Sciaenidae.
ACUAAACAAAGCUGUAAGUCGCUUUGGCUAAAAGCGUCUGCUAAAUGCAAUGUA